GCGGGGCCACUUCAAGAUGUCCUUGGCCACCUGGCCAACAUACAUCACCAGCUGCAAAACCAAAGGACCGAGAUGAAUCCAGCCAACUGUGGCUCUGAUCCCCAGUUCUACACGGCACUGAGGAGGUGACUGCACAUGCCACAGAGAAAGCUGGUGAAAAUCUACCUACUCAAAGCCCACCAAAACAAUGAAGUUACAGAGCAAACAUUAUAGCUCACAGAAGACCAUCAGAAAACUGGUUUCACAUAUUCCCAGUUCUGGAAUCAUGAGAACCAUUAAAGCAACAAAUGGCAGAAGAAGAAACAAACUGAAGACCACAGAGGGUGAACGUCACACCAAAAACAAAGCCAUCAGUGAAGAGGAGCUGGACAGGACUUUUGUGUUUUGAUUCCAAAGCCUGUGGUCUUUUCUCCACAUCCCACCGUCUAGCAUCUGAC
Molecule: long non-coding RNA, 437 nt
Organism: Pteronotus mesoamericanus
Lineage: Eukaryota; Metazoa; Chordata; Mammalia; Chiroptera; Mormoopidae
Exons: 4
Source: RefSeq, a predicted model, not a curated record